This 400-nucleotide ribosomal RNA is filed under the name uncultured bacterium. RNAcentral's name for it is "bacterial SSU rRNA". It matches the Rfam family "Bacterial small subunit ribosomal RNA", at positions 356 to 773 of the family's 1533-position model. The record is from RNAcentral.
GGGGAAUCUUAGACAAUGGGGGCAACCCUGAUCUAGCCAUGCCGCGUGAGUGAUGAAGGCCUUAGGGUUGUAAAGCUCUUUCAGCUGGGAAGAUAAUGACGGUACCAGCAGAAAAAGCCCCGGCUAACUCCGUGCCAGCAGCCGCGGUAAUACGGAGGGGGCUAGCGUUGUUCGGAAUUACUGGGCGUAAAGCGCACGUAGGCGGACUGGAAAGUCAGAGGUGAAAUCCCAGGGCUCAACCUUGGAACUGCCUUUGAAACUAUCAGUCUGGAGUUCGAGAGAGGUGAGUGGAAUUCCGAGUGUAGAGGUGAAAUUCGUAGAUAUUCGGAGGAACACCAGUGGCGAAGGCGGCUCACUGGCUCGAUACUGACGCUGAGGUGCGAAAGCGUGGGGAGCAAAC